UGGGGAAUAUUGCACAAUGGGCGCAAGCCUGAUGCAGCCAUGCCGCGUGUGUGAAGAAGGCCUUCGGGUUGUAAAGCACUUUCAGCGAGGAGGAAGGGUGGUGUGUUAAUAGCACAUUGCAUUGACGUUACUCGCAGAAGAAGCACCGGCUAACUCCGUGCCAGCAGCCGCGGUAAUACGGAGGGUGCAAGCGUUAAUCGGCAUUACUGGGCGUAAAGCGCACGCAGGCGGUUUGUUAAGUCAGAUGUGAAAUCCCCGCGCUUAACGUGGGAACUGCAUUUGAAACUGGCAAGCUAGAGUCUUGUAGAGGGGGGUAGAAUUCCAGGUGUAGCGGUGAAAUGCGUAGAGAUCUGGAGGAAUACCGGUGGCGAAGGCGGCCCCCUGGACAAAGACUGACGCUCAGGUGCGAAAGCGUGGGGAGCAAACA
This 427-nucleotide ribosomal RNA is filed under the name uncultured bacterium. RNAcentral's name for it is "partial 16S ribosomal RNA". It matches the Rfam family "Bacterial small subunit ribosomal RNA", at positions 355 to 774 of the family's 1533-position model. The record is from RNAcentral.